RNAcentral lists this unclassified non-coding RNA (354 nucleotides) under soil metagenome. RNAcentral describes it as "partial contains 5.8S ribosomal RNA, internal transcribed spacer 2, and large subunit ribosomal RNA". The stretch from base 1 to 120 matches the Rfam family "5.8S ribosomal RNA", at positions 35 to 154 of the family's 154-position model. The record is from RNAcentral.
GAUGAAGAACGCAGCGAAAUGUGAUAAGUAGUGUGAAUUGCAGAAUUCAGUGAAUCAUCGAAUCUUUGAACGCACAUUGCGCCUCCUGGUAUUCCGGGAGGCAUGCCUGUUCGAGCGUCAUUAAAAUCACUCAAGCUUAGGUUUACCUAUUGCUUGGUCUUGGAGAUGGAAGCCAAUUUAUUGGAAUCCUCUUCGAAAUUCAAUGGCGAAGACCCUUGCUCUCCCAAGUGUAGUAAUAACUUAUGUCACUGAAGGAAGCGAGAAAUCUUCUGCCGUAACCCCCAUAUUUUCUAUGAUUGACCUCGGAUCAGGUAGGGAUACCCGCUGAACUUAAGCAUAUCAAUAAGCGGAGGA